AGCGAACGCUGGCGGCAGGCCUAACACAUGCAAGUCGAACGAACGCUGCGGAGUUAGUGGCGGACGGGUGAGUAACACGUGGGAACGUGCCUUUUGGUUCGCAAGAACGCAGGGAAACAUGUGCUAAUACCGAAUGUGCUCUUCGGGGGCAAGAGUUAUCGCCAUUAGAGCGGCCCGCGUCUGAUUAGCUGGUUGGUGAGGUAACGGCUCACCAAGGCGACGUUCAGUAGAUGGUCUGAGAGGAUGACCCGCCACACUGGGACGGAGACACGGUCCAGACUCCUACGGGAGGGAGCAGUGGGGAAUCUUGCGCAAUGGGGGAAAGCCUGACGCAGCCAUGCCGCGUAAAUGAUGAAGGUCUUAGGAUUGUACAAUUCUUUCACCGGGGACGAUAAUGACGGUACCCGGAGAAGAAGCCCCGGCUAACUUCGUG
This 433-nucleotide ribosomal RNA is filed under the name uncultured bacterium. Its description in RNAcentral is "partial 16S ribosomal RNA". It matches the Rfam family "Bacterial small subunit ribosomal RNA", at positions 29 to 507 of the family's 1533-position model. The record is from RNAcentral.